GAUGAACGCUGACAGAAUGCUUAACACAUGCAAGUCAACUUGAAUUUGGGUUUUUAACUUAGGUUUGGGUGGCGGACGGGUGAGUAACGCGUAAAGAACUUGCCUCACAGCUAGGGACAACAUUUGGAAACGAAUGCUAAUACCUAAUAUUAUGAUAAUAGGGCAUCCUAUAAUUAUGAAAGCUAUAAGCGCUGUGAGAGAGCUUUGCGUCCCAUUAGCUAGUUGGAGAGGUAACGGCUCACCAAGGCGAUGAUGGGUAGCCGGCCUGAGAGGGUGAUCGGCCACAAGGGGAAUGAGACACGGCCCUUACUCCUACGGGAGGCAGCAGUGGGGAAUAUUGGACAAUGGACCAAGAGUCUGAUCCAGCAAUUCUGUGUGCACGAUGAAGUUUUUCGGAAUGUAAAGUGCUUUCAGUUGGGAAGAAAGAAAUGACGGUACCAACAGAAGAAGUGACGGCUAAAUACGUG
RNAcentral lists this ribosomal RNA (467 nucleotides) under uncultured bacterium. RNAcentral describes it as "partial 16S ribosomal RNA". It matches the Rfam family "Bacterial small subunit ribosomal RNA", at positions 28 to 507 of the family's 1533-position model. The record is from RNAcentral.